RNAcentral lists this transfer RNA (87 nucleotides) under Thymallus grubii (Amur grayling). RNAcentral describes it as "partial tRNA-Pro". The stretch from base 1 to 70 matches the Rfam family "tRNA". From Rfam's summary of the family: Transfer RNA (tRNA) molecules are approximately 80 nucleotides in length. Their secondary structure includes four short double-helical elements and three loops (D, anti-codon, and T loops). Further hydrogen bonds mediate the characteristic L-shaped molecular structure. tRNAs have two regions of fundamental functional importance: the anti-codon, which is responsible for specific mRNA codon recognition, and the 3' end, to which the tRNAs corresponding amino acid is attached (by aminoacyl-tRNA synthetases). tRNAs cope with the degeneracy of the genetic code in two manners: having more than one tRNA (with a specific anti-codon) for a particular amino acid; and 'wobble' base-pairing, i.e. permitting non-standard base-pairing at the 3rd anti-codon position. The record is from RNAcentral. Lineage: Eukaryota; Metazoa; Chordata; Actinopteri; Salmoniformes; Salmonidae.
CAGAGGGUAGUUUUAUUUAGAAUCUUAGCUUUGGGAGUUAAGGGUAGGAGUUAAAAUCUCCUCUCUCUGAGCACUAGGGAGGGUUUU